AGUAUGGUUUAAGCUCUGUGAACGAUGGGGUAGCGAGGCCUUCCAGAAAAUAGCAAGUAAAAAUCGGGACAAUAGAAGGAUGCUGAAAAUUAACCACACAACUGGUCGCAAAUCCUUUGUGAGGAUGCUAGAACAAAAGCGUGCUGAAAAUGCAAAUUUGGUGGACUUCUACAAGGAAACCCACUGGUCCAAGAAGAAAGAUAAAUUUGUGACACCUGCUACCGAAGACAUUUAUAAGGAUAUGGUAGGAAAGCUGGAUAA
Long non-coding RNA from Juglans microcarpa x Juglans regia, 261 nucleotides. RefSeq lists it as uncharacterized. The record is from RefSeq and is a predicted model, not a curated record. The transcript is spliced from 4 exons. NCBI's taxonomy places the organism in Eukaryota, Viridiplantae, Streptophyta, Magnoliopsida, Fagales, Juglandaceae.